RNAcentral lists this ribosomal RNA (460 nucleotides) under uncultured bacterium. RNAcentral's name for it is "partial 16S ribosomal RNA". It matches the Rfam family "Bacterial small subunit ribosomal RNA", at positions 338 to 795 of the family's 1533-position model. The record is from RNAcentral.
CCUACGGGAGGCAGCAGUGAGGAAUAUUGGUCAAUGGACGAGAGUCUGAACCAGCCAAGUAGCGUGAAGGAUGACUGCCCUAUGGGUUGUAAACUUCUUUUAUAUGGGAAUAAAAUGUUCCACGUGUGGGAUUUUGUAUGUACCAUAUGAAUAAGGAUCGGCUAACUCCGUGCCAGCAGCCGCGGUAAUACGGAGGAUCCGAGCGUUAUCCGGAUUUAUUGGGUUUAAAGGGAGCGUAGGUGGAUUGUUAAGUCAGUUGUGAAAGUUUGCGGCUCAACCGUAAAAUUGCAGUUGAAACUGGCAGUCUUGAGUACAGUAGAGGUGGGCGGAAUUCGUGGUGUAGCGGUGAAAUGCUUAGAUAUCACGAAGAACUCCGAUUGCGAAGGCAGCUCACUGGACUGCAACUGACGCUGAUGCACGAAAGCGUGGGGAUCAAACAGGAUUAGAUACCCCAGUAGUC